This is a long non-coding RNA of Xiphias gladius (swordfish), 230 nucleotides long. RefSeq lists it as uncharacterized. Lineage: Eukaryota; Metazoa; Chordata; Actinopteri; Istiophoriformes; Xiphiidae. The record is from RefSeq and is a predicted model, not a curated record. The transcript is spliced from 3 exons.
GAGAGAGACACGGACCACCCAACGGCUGUGGAGAAAAACAAAACUGGGUGGAGAGCAAAGUCAGCUUCGAUCACAUCGGAGGGCCUGUCAUGACUGCUCUCCAGCAGGACUCCUGUGUCUGGAUUAAUGUCCCUGGUUGACUGCUGAUCUGAAGACAGACGCUAAUUUACUGGCAACAGGAAGAAGAAAGUUGCAGGUGAAGGUUCUACUUGUUUAAAUGUUUACUGAAU